CCGCAACCCCUCCACCCACCCCUCCACAUACCGCAACCCUCCUUCCACUCACCACAAGCCCUCCACCCAUCCCUCCAAGUACUACAACCCCUCCACCCACCGAAACCCUUCCACCCCUCCCUCCUUGUACCGCAACCCCUCCACCCACCCCUCCAAGUACUGCAACCCCUCCACCCAACCCUCCAAGUACCGCAACCCCUCCACCCAACCCUCCAAGCACCGCAACCUCUCAACCCAUCACAACCCUGACAACCACCAUAAUCACGUGCCCUCGAGUUUACGUGCCAAUCUGUGACAAUUUUUCGAGCAUUGUGUCAGUCUACGAUGACAACGGGUGCGAGUUUUUGUAUUGUGACCCCAUUCAACCUCCACUUCCCCCUGCCAGCCCCACACCCACGCCCCCUGCCUGAGUCUAUACCUGGCACAGACUUGGUUAUCAGAAAAUACCUCCUCUGACUCAAGACGUCCGAUUCCCAGACAAUAAUGUUCACCCGUCACCGAAGAAGUGUAACCUCAGGAUGCCUGGGGAAGAGCAGCAGUCAAUAACUUUUAAAAAAUCAAUAAAACAAAUUAAUAUGUCUUGAAUUACUUUAAUAUAAUAUAAUUAAGAUGUAUAAUCUUUAGUUGACUGAUUUGCUUUGCUUUCAAUAUGUAUUUUCUUUUUCAUGAUAGUUAUUCUAUAUAUUCCGACUGUUUGUUUUAUUGAUCACGAAAACUAAACAAAAAAAAUAAUGUUAUGUCGUCUGAGAAAGUUAAU
This is a long non-coding RNA of Aplysia californica (California sea hare), 757 nucleotides long. RefSeq lists it as uncharacterized. NCBI's taxonomy places the organism in Eukaryota, Metazoa, Mollusca, Gastropoda, Aplysiida, Aplysiidae. The transcript is spliced from 4 exons. The record is from RefSeq and is a predicted model, not a curated record.